UAUGAGAUAUCUCAUGGCAGUAGCUAAUAUCAAGUUCUUUCAGCAUAGAACACCUUUUGGCCACCUCAAUCAGAGCAGCAUCAGAGACACACUGACUGCAUUUGAUUGAAAGAAUCUCAAGCUUUGGGCAUCUGAAGAUAAGUGGUGCAGGUAUUGCAACAAAAAUAGAGAAGCACUUUUAAACUUUUCAACGACAAAAUUAUGAACUUACGAGGUAUGGUGUAUGCCCCAAGGGCAAGGAUGUUCGCAUAUGUCAGCCAUAAUCCAUGGUCACAUUUAAGAUGACCCAACACUUCUAUCAGAGCCCAGAGAUGAAGAAUUAGACAAAAGGGGAAAUGGGACAGGACUACAGGAGAAGGUUCUGGCGAACAUACAAAUCGGGAGGCUCAAUAUUCAAUAUUUCAGCAGCCUCAAGCAUCAACUGAUGCAAUUCAGAUAGCUGACACAUAAGCACAACAUAUCAGAGUCGAAAGUAAGCUUAAACCACAAUUUUUGAGGCAACACAAGCUCCAGCAAUCACAAAAAAAAUGUUUGAGGGCUUUAAAUGAUAGCUUUUCUACUAUGAUGAAAUGCAAAUCAAGGUGACUAAUUCCUUCCAAGUUCAAAGUCAAGACUGUAAAGAUCUGUACAGAAUUCAAAUAUUCAAUUGCAGGAGCAAAUCCAACUGUGUAAUACACAACGCAUGUCCAAACAACAGAUUCAAGGACAGAAUAUGGCACACGCAGAAGCCAGCUCGAAAGUGACCAUGCCCAAGCAGGAUAGAAGCAAUUGUCUCUUUGCUUGUAAAAGACGGGGAGUCGAGUUAUCAUGAGAGACAACUCUGAAAGUCCAUUAAACAUCAUAUGUACAACCCCAUAGUAGAGGCAGUUAAGAUAGAGAUUUCCAUAAGUCACAUCUAUAGCAUGUAGCCUUGUCCGUAGGAAAGUUGUACCAGUGAUAAAUCCCACGAAUGCGACAUGUGAACAAGAGAAAAGAGACAGAUAAUGAUGAAACUCCAAAAUUCGAACUAUAAGUAACCAGAUCUUGGGAAAAACACGAAACCCUAAAAAAUCCAUGAGAAAUUAGAUCUUAAUUCUAGCAAAUUCGAAAAAUCAUCACAAGAUCUAAAACAAAUA
This is a long non-coding RNA of Beta vulgaris subsp. vulgaris (sugar beet), 1115 nucleotides long. RefSeq lists it as uncharacterized. The record is from RefSeq and is a predicted model, not a curated record. The transcript has 4 exons. NCBI's taxonomy places the organism in Eukaryota, Viridiplantae, Streptophyta, Magnoliopsida, Caryophyllales, Amaranthaceae.